Molecule: long non-coding RNA, 215 nt
Filed under: Mytilus galloprovincialis (Mediterranean mussel)
Lineage: Eukaryota; Metazoa; Mollusca; Bivalvia; Mytilida; Mytilidae
Source: RNAcentral
GGGGCAUAAACCAAGGGAACAAAUGUUGUCAAGUUGCUAUUUUACGUUCUACACCAAAAAAUGAUAUGUAAAUGUUUAAAAUGUAAAUAAAGAUUGAACUCAUAUAGAAUAUAUAUAACUUGAACCAAUCAAUGCACCACAAUUUUGCCUUCUCAAAAUAUCCAAUUACUGUCCUUUGAUGAAGUAAAUAAGUGUUUAAAUUGACUUUUGAAAAG